Molecule: ribosomal RNA, 207 nt
Filed under: uncultured delta proteobacterium
Lineage: Bacteria; Deltaproteobacteria
Description: partial 16S ribosomal RNA
Rfam family: Bacterial small subunit ribosomal RNA
Source: RNAcentral
CGUGCAGGCGGGAAGGUAAGUCUGAUGUGAAAGCCCCGGGCUCAACCUGGGAAGUGCAUUGGAAACUGCUUUUCUUGAGUACUGGAGAGGAAGGGGGAAUUCCCGGUGUAGAGGUGAAAUUCGUAGAGAUCGGGAGGAAUACCAGUGGCGAAGGCGCCCUUCUGGACGGUUACUGACGCUGAGACGCGAAAGCGUGGGGAGCAAACA